GAAAUGCGAUACGCAAUGCGAAUUGCAGAACUCCGCGAGUCAUCAGAUCUUUGAACGCAAAUGGCGCCAAUUUAUUGGCAUGUUUGUUUCAGUGUGUUUGGAGAGUAUAAUCAAAUCAUAUUAUAUGAAUGCGAUUGAGAUGAUAUUUAAUAUCUUUUCUCUCGUUAAAUAUGAAGGUGUGAGGAUAAAACUCGCACUGAGAAAACGAAGUAGUCACAUCUAAUGUGAUCUCGUUUAAUCAGUAAGUGUUGUUUUCUCUCUUAAUUGAGACCUCUAUAUGCCUAUAAAACUAAAAAAUCUCCUUUAAAUUGACACCUGAGAUCAAGCAAGGCUACCCGCUGAACUUAA
This 348-nucleotide unclassified non-coding RNA is filed under the name uncultured fungus. Its description in RNAcentral is "sequence contains ITS1". The stretch from base 1 to 97 matches the Rfam family "5.8S ribosomal RNA", at positions 50 to 154 of the family's 154-position model. Lineage: Eukaryota; Fungi. The record is from RNAcentral.